Molecule: ribosomal RNA, 291 nt
Filed under: uncultured bacterium
Lineage: Bacteria
Description: partial 16S ribosomal RNA
Source: RNAcentral
GGACUACCCGGGUAUCUAAUCCUGUUUGCUCCCCACGCUUUCGCGCCUCAGCGUCAGUUACAGCCCAGAGAGUCGCCUUCGCCACUGGUGUUCCUCCACAUCUCUACGCAUUUCACCGCUACACGUGGAAUUCCACUCUCCUCUUCUGCACUCAAGCCUUGCAGUUUCCAAUGCGACCCAGGGUUGAGCCCUAGGUUUAAACACCAGACUUACAAAGCCGCCUGCGCGCGCUUUACGCCCAAUAAUUCCGGACAACGCUUGCCCCCUACGUAUUACCGCGGCUGCUGGCAC